Molecule: long non-coding RNA, 720 nt
Organism: Pangasianodon hypophthalmus (striped catfish)
Lineage: Eukaryota; Metazoa; Chordata; Actinopteri; Siluriformes; Pangasiidae
Exons: 3
Source: RefSeq, a predicted model, not a curated record
AAUCUGCAGUACAAUGUUCUUCAGCUCAAAGAGCAGAUACCCUUUAAGAAUGCCUUUGACAAAAGAAGAGCAAAUUGAAAUUAUUCUUAUCCCUGGAUCGGGAAGCUGUCAGAAUUACACCAACACGUCGUCAUGUUUGGUUUCUGUCCAGGUGCAUUGCAAAUUAGGUAAGUGUGAUACAGCUAAAAUUCGAAAAAUAUUUUUAAAAUGUUAUAAAAAUUCUAAAAAUUUGUGCUAAAUAUAAUAGAUAAGGUCACUGAAAUCCAUCUCAUCCACUCUACAACACACUACAGAGUCAGCGGAGCUCAUUCUCCAAAAGACUCAUUCGAAUUCACUGUCACAGAGAACGUUACAGGAGUUCAUUCUUACCAUUCGCAAUAACACUGUACAACAGCUCACCUGUGUGUGACAGAUGAUAACACUUUCACAUUACACUACUACAAGAAAGCUAUCGUUUAGAAAGCUGUCAUUAUAUUCUACAUUCUCAAGGUUCUUCAUAUUCAUUAUUCACUACCAGUUUUCACAAGUGUACUUAUGUAAAUACUGAUGUAAAUCUGGUUAAAUCUACAGCUGUGUUCCAUAUCUGCACUACUACAUUUAAUUUCACUUAUUGUAUUUUAUAUUUUAUAUUGUGUCUGUGUACGUGUUGUAUCUUGCUACUGACCAUGCUGCUGUAACACAAGAAUUUCCCUCAUGGGAUCAAUAAAGUAUAUCUAUCUA